AGUGAACGCUGGCGGCAGGCCUAACACAUGCAAGUCGAACGGCAGCACAGUAAGAGCUUGCUCCUACGGGUGGCGAGUGGCGGACGGGUGAGGAAUACAUCGGAAUCUACUAUGUCGUGGGGGAUAACGUAGGGAAACUUAUGCUAAUACCGCAUAUGACCUACGGGUGAAAGCAGGGGAUCUUCGGACUUUGCGCGAUUGAAUGAGCCGAUGUCGGAUUAGCUAGUUGGCUGGGUAAAGGCCCACCAAGGCGACGAUCCGUAGCUGGUCUGAGAGGAUGAUCAGCCACACUGGAACUGAGACACGGUCCAGACUCCUACGGGAGGCAGCAGUGGGGAAUAUUGGGCAAUGGGCGAAAGCCUGAUCCAGCCAUGCCGCGUGAGUGAAGAAGGCCUUCGGAUUGUAAAGCCCUGUUGUUAGGAAAGAAAAGCAGCAGGUUAAUACCCCGCUGUUCUGACGGUACCCAAAGAAUAAGCACCGGCUAACUUCGUG
RNAcentral lists this ribosomal RNA (492 nucleotides) under uncultured bacterium. RNAcentral's name for it is "partial 16S ribosomal RNA". It matches the Rfam family "Bacterial small subunit ribosomal RNA", at positions 29 to 507 of the family's 1533-position model. The record is from RNAcentral.